GACGAACGCUGGCGGCGUGCCUAAUACAUGCAAGUUGAGCGCUGAAGGUUGGUACUUGUACCGACUGGCUGAGCAGCGAACGGGUGAGUAACGCGUGGGGAAUCUGCCUUUGAGCGGGGGACAACAUUUGGAAACGAAUGCUAAUACCGCAUAAAAACUUUAAACACAAGUUUUAAGUUUGAAAGAUGCAAUUGCAUCACUCAAAGAUGAUCCCGCGUUGUAUUAGCUAGUUGGUGAGGUAAAGGCUCACCAAGGCGAUGAUACAUAGCCGACCUGAGAGGGUGAUCGGCCACAUUGGGACUGAGACACGGCCCAAACGCCUACGGGAGGCAGCAGUAGGGAAUCUUCGGCAAUGGACGAAAGUCUGACCGAGCAACGCCGCGUGAGUGAAGAAGGUUUUCGGAUCGUAAAACUCGGUUGGUAGAGAAGAACGUUGGUGAGAGUGGAAAGCUCAUCAAGUGACGGUAACUACCCAGAAAGGGACGGCUAACUACGUG
RNAcentral lists this ribosomal RNA (497 nucleotides) under uncultured bacterium. Its description in RNAcentral is "partial 16S ribosomal RNA". It matches the Rfam family "Bacterial small subunit ribosomal RNA", at positions 28 to 507 of the family's 1533-position model. The record is from RNAcentral.